Molecule: ribosomal RNA, 440 nt
Filed under: uncultured bacterium
Lineage: Bacteria
Description: partial 16S ribosomal RNA
Rfam family: Bacterial small subunit ribosomal RNA
Source: RNAcentral
CCUACGGGAGGCAGCAGUGGGGAAUAUUGCACAAUGGGGGAAACCCUGAUGCAGCGACGCCGCGUGAGUGAAGAAGUAUCUCGGUACGUAAAGCUCUAUCAGCCGGGAAGAAAAUGACGGUACCUGACUAAGAAGACCCGGCUAACGACGUGCAAGCAGCCGCGGUAAUACGUAGGGGGCAAGCGUUAUCCGGAUUUACUGGGGGUAAAGGGAGCGUAGACGGCAGCACAAGUCUGGAGGGAAAUGCCGGGGCUUAACCCCGGAACUGCUUUGGAAACUGUGCGGCUGGAGUGCAGGAGGGGUAAGCGGAAUUCCUAGUGUAGCGGUGAAAUGCGUAGAUAUUAGGAGGAACACCGGUGGCGAAGGCGGCUUACUGGACUGUAACUGACGUUGAGGCUCGAAAGCGUGGGGAGCAAACAGGAUUAGAUACCCUAGUAGUC